UCCUGGCUCAGAUUGAACGCUGGCGGCAUGCCUUACACAUGCAAGUCGAACGGCAGCACGGGGGCAACCCUGGUGGCGAGUGGCGAACGGGUGAGUAAGACAUCGGAACGUGUCCUGUAGUGGGGGAUAGCCCGGCGAAAGCCGGAUUAAUACCGCAUACGACCUGAGGGAGAAAGCGGGGGAUCUUCGGACCUCGCGCUAUAGGGGCGGCCGAUGGCAGAUUAGCUAGUUGGUGGGGUAAAGGCCUACCAAGGCGACGAUCUGUAGCUGGUCUGAGAGGACGACCAGCCACACUGGGACUGAGACACGGCCCAGACUCCUACGGGAGGCAGCAGUGGGGAAUUUUGGACAAUGGGGGCAAUCCUGAUCCAGCAAUGCCGCGUGUGUGAAGAAGGCCUUCGGGUUGUAAAGCACUUUUGUCCGGAAAGAAAACCAUCGCCCUAAUAUGGUGGUGGGAUGACGGUACCGGAAGAAUAAGCACCGGCUAACUACGUGCCAGCAGCCGCGGUAAUACGUAGGGUGCGAGCGUUAAUCGGAAUUACUGGGCGUAAAGCGUGCGCAGGCGGUCUGUUAAGACCGAUGUGAAAUCCCCGGGCUUAACCUGGGAACUGCAUUGGUGACUGGCAGACUGGAGUGUGGCAGAGGGAGGUAGAAUUCCACGUGUAGCAGUGAAAUGCGUAGAGAUGUGGAGGAAUACCGAUGGCGAA
RNAcentral lists this ribosomal RNA (707 nucleotides) under uncultured bacterium. Its description in RNAcentral is "bacterial SSU rRNA". It matches the Rfam family "Bacterial small subunit ribosomal RNA", at positions 17 to 719 of the family's 1533-position model. The record is from RNAcentral.